UCAAGCUAGAAAGAGCGCAAGGGGAAUGCCUUGGCAUCAGGAGCCGAUGAAGGACGCGACAAGCUGCGAUAAGCUUCGGGUAGCUGCAAAUAAGCAAUGAUCCGGAGAUUUCCGAAUGGGGCAACCCGGCACGGCAAUACCGUGUCAGCGUGCACUGAAUCAAAUAGGUGUACGUGGGGAACCGCCUGAACUGAAACAUCUAAGUAGGGCGAGGAAAAGACAUCAACCGAGAUUCCGCAAGUAGUGGCGAGCGAACGCGGAGAAGGCCAAACCAGAGGUCAUUGAUCUCUGGGGUAAGGACUUGCAUCAUGAUCAGAGGUAUCUAGUCGAAUGGCGUGGGAAAGCCAACCACAGAGGGUGAGAGUCCCGUAGACGAAAGAGAAGACUGACAGCGAGUAUCCAGAGUACCGCCGGACACGUGAAACCCGGUGGGAACAUGGGAGGACCACCUUCCAAGCCUAAAUACUACCUGAUGACCGAUAGAGAAGCAGUACCGUGAGGGAAAGGUGAAAAGAACCCCGGGAGGGGAGUGAAAUAGUACCUGAAACCGUAUGUCUACAAGCAGUCGAAGCGAAAGCGACGGCGUGCCUAUUGAAGAAUGAACCAACGAGUUAUCUGCACUAGCGAGGUUAAGUGGAAGACACGGAGCCGCAGCGAAAGCGAGUCUUAAGAGGGCGCUAGUUAGUGUAGGUAGACCCGAAACCGCAGUGAUCUACCCAUGUCCAGGUUGAAGCGCAGGUAAAAUUGCGUGGAGGACCGAACCGGUGAGCGUUGAAAAGCUUUCGGAUGAGAUGUGGGUAGGGGUGAAAUUCCAAUCGAACGCGGAGAUAGCUGGUUCUCCCCGAAAUAGCUUUAGGGCUAGCCUGAGGUAGUAAGUAUAGGCGGUAGAGCACUGAUCGGGCUAGGGGCCGUAAAGGUUACCGAACCCUGUCAAACUCCGAAUGGAUAUACUGUAGAGCCUUGGAGUCAGACUACGAGUGAUAAGAUCCGUGGUCAAAAGGGAAACAGCCCAGACCACCAGCUAAGGUCCCCAAUGUCGUACUAAGUGGAAAAGGAUGUGGGGUUUCAUAAACAACCAGGAUGUUGGCUCAGAAGCAGCCACCAUUUAAAGAGUGCGUAAUAGCUCACUGGUCGAGAGACCCUGCGCCGAAGAUUCCCGGGGCUAAAGUACGAAACCGAAGCUGUGGCUGUAUACGUAAAGUAUACGGGGUAGGGGAGCGUUCCCAUAGGGUAGAAGUCGAACUGGAAGGUUCGGUGGACUUGUGGGAAGUGAGAAUGUUGGUAUGAGUAGCGAAAAGAAAGGUGAGAAUCCUUUCCACCGAAAGCAUAAGGAUUCCUGAGCAACGAUCGUCGUCUCAGGGUAAGUCGGGACCUAAUCCGAGGCAGAGAGCGUAGGAGAUGGACAACUGGUUGAUAUUCCAGUACCGGUAGUAAUUGUUUGAGCAAUGGAGUGACACAGAAGGGCAGGCAAGCAUGCGAAUGGAAGAGCAUGUGUAAGCGUGUAGGGUGGUGCAUAGGCAAAUCCGUGCACUGAAAGCCUGAGGCGUGAUGCGGAGUGAGCAGAGAUGCGAGCGAAGUUGUUGACCCCACACUGUCGAGAAAAGCUUCUAGUGAGAGAGCUACCGCCCGUACCGUAAACCGACACAGGUAUGCGGGGAGAGAAUCCUAAGGUGCGCGGGAGAACCCUCGUUAAGGAACUCGGCAAAAUGUACCCGUAACUUCGGGAUAAGGGUAGCCACUGUUGUGAAGUCCCAUGCGGAUGGAGCAUAGAGUGGUCGCAGAGAAGAGGCCCAAGCGACUGUUUACCAUAAACACAGGUGCCUGCUAAAGCGAAAGCUGACGUAUAGGUGCUGACACCUGCCCAGUGCCGGAAGGUUAAGGAAGGAUGUUCGGAGUAAUCCAAAGCAUUCGACUGAAGCCCCGGUGAACGGCGGCCGUAACUAUAACGGUCCUAAGGUAGCGAAAUUCCUUGUCGGGUAAG
This 1981-nucleotide ribosomal RNA is filed under the name human gut metagenome. RNAcentral describes it as "bacterial LSU rRNA". It matches the Rfam family "Bacterial large subunit ribosomal RNA", at positions 3 to 1980 of the family's 2925-position model. The record is from RNAcentral.